Molecule: small nucleolar RNA, 126 nt
Filed under: Castor canadensis (American beaver)
Lineage: Eukaryota; Metazoa; Chordata; Mammalia; Rodentia; Castoridae
Description: Small nucleolar RNA SNORA31 (ENSCCNG00000010620.1)
Rfam family: Small nucleolar RNA SNORA31
About the family: ACA31 (SNORA31) belongs to the H/ACA class of snoRNAs which are thought to guide the sites of modification of uridines to pseudouridines. ACA31 is predicted to guide the pseudouridylation of U3713 in 28S rRNA and U218 in 18S rRNA.
Source: RNAcentral
UGCCAGUGUUCGAAAAGUGAAGAAAGUCUUGCUGUUGUUCUGGUGUUCAGUAGGAUGGAAAAGAAAACAUCACUGCACUUCCUGUCUGUCUUUGUGGCAGUCAAGAUUGAAUUGGGGACUACGCCU